Molecule: long non-coding RNA, 1065 nt
Filed under: Cyanistes caeruleus (blue tit)
Lineage: Eukaryota; Metazoa; Chordata; Aves; Passeriformes; Paridae
Description: lncRNA (ENSCCEG00000021856.1)
Source: RNAcentral
AUGGCACCGGGGAUGGCACUGGGGGUGGCACCGGGGGUGGCAGCGGGGAUGGUACCGGGGAUGGCACCGGGGAUGGUACCGGGGAUGGCACCGGGGGUGACACCGGGGAUGGCAGCGGGGAUGGCACCGGGGCCAUCCCGUGCGGCGAUCAAACCUCUCGCUUUGGCGAGGCCUCGUGGCUCACACGGGGACGCUGGUGACCGGGAGAGGCUGGCGGAGCGGGGUCGCGCUGAUCCAGGCCUGCAUCCCUGGCGGGGAUGGCGGAAAAUCCUCUGGGAGCAGCAGCGGGAGCGGGGCUUGGAGCAUCAGUCCCGGCAGGAGCGGCUGGGGGGGCUCAGCCUGGGGAGGAGGAGGCUCCGGGGGGAUCUUUUUGCUCCACAAAUUCCUGCCAGGAAGGUGCGGCCAGGUGAGGCUCGGGCUCUGCUCCAUCCAGGGAACGAGGGAUGCGGUGACUCAAGCUGUGCCCAGGGGGGGUUCAGGUUGGAUUUUGGGAGAGAUUUGUUGGUGGGGAAUGCGCUCAGGCACCGGCACCGGCUGCCCAUGGAAUCGCCAUCCCCGGAAUUGUCCAGCGAACGUGCGGAUGUGGCACUCGGGGACGCGGUGGGGUUCUGGGGGAGGUUGGACUGGCUGAUCUCAGAGGGUUUUUCCAGGUUCUGUGAUUCCACGGCUGAUGGUCGUGGGUGCUGCUGGGGCAGCGCUGUCCCCUCUGGUGACACCUGUGUCCCCUCUGGUGACACCUCUGUCCCCAAGGGACUGGCAUUCUGUCACCUCCCGUGCGCUGAGGGGCGAUUUCCCGAGGCUCUGGUGCUGUGGGUGCUCAGAUCUCCCGCAGGGAUCAUUGCUCGGAUGGGGGGGACAAUCCCCGGGAUCUCUUGGUGUCCCCCAUGUCCCUGCUGUCCCUCAUCCCUGCUCCAUCACCUCCUGCCGCUCGGUCCCAGCUGUGGUCAGUCCAGGGCUGUUCUGUCGCUGCUUCCCAGGCUCCUGGAAUCGCUUUUCCAUGACAUUCCCGGCUGCAGAGCUGAGAUUUCUCCAGGAGAAGACCCAGGUCCAUGCAGCAGGGAAUAA